This 253-nucleotide ribosomal RNA is filed under the name uncultured bacterium. Its description in RNAcentral is "partial 16S ribosomal RNA". It matches the Rfam family "Bacterial small subunit ribosomal RNA", at positions 524 to 776 of the family's 1533-position model. The record is from RNAcentral.
UACGUAGGGCGCAAGCGUUGUCCGGAAUUAUUGGGCGUAAAGAGCUUGUAGGCGGUUUGUCGCGUCUGCUGUGAAAUUUCGGGGCUCAACCCCGAACUUGCAGUGGGUACGGGCAGACUAGAGUGUGGUAGGGGAGACUGGAAUUCCUGGUGUAGCGGUGAAAUGCGCAGAUAUCAGGAGGAACACCGGUGGCGAAGGCGGAUCUCUGGGCCUGUUCUGACGCUGAGGUGCGAAAGCUAGGGGAGCGAACAGG